Long non-coding RNA from Paramormyrops kingsleyae, 1755 nucleotides. RefSeq lists it as uncharacterized. NCBI's taxonomy places the organism in Eukaryota, Metazoa, Chordata, Actinopteri, Osteoglossiformes, Mormyridae. The record is from RefSeq and is a predicted model, not a curated record.
AACUAGUUUUCUCCUUCAAGAAAACUAACGAAGAAAUAUGCAACGAAAAGCGGUCUUCGAGACACAUCUCACAGGUAUAGGAAGACUAUCCCUAGUUAUUAUGAUGGUGUGCCUCAUCUCUACCAGAGCCAAUCCCUUUUGCAAUUACAAGGGCUUAACGAACAUUGCAGAAGCUCAUUUAAAGUUUUGCCUGGACGCCUAUGAGGGAGCUAAUGGGAAUAAUUUUGAUGGUUGGACCAACUUCUCUGUGCUUCAUGUCCCUGAUGAAAGACCUGAGAAAAUGAAAGAGACCGCUACUUGUGGCAUCCAGUUCAUCGCUGCUGCUCUGAACGUCAUACUGAUGGACCAGAUGAAUGACUUGAACCCUAAUAAUGAAACCCUGCGUAAAACUUUCACAAAUGCCAUCAGUGUCAUGGAGGAUCUCAAUCAUUGCAUGAACAAAGUCUUAGGACAUCAUUGUCAACAUCAUACAAAGCCACAGCUACCAAAGCCCGUUUAUGACAGGAAGCAGUGGAGUGUUGGAGUCAUAAAAGCUUCUGAGAAAUUCCUCAAAUGGAUUUUAAAGGAUCAUCUGUACUUUCAAACAAAUAAACUUCAGCACUUGUAGAAGAAAACGAUUCACCUAUCUUCCCUCUCUUUAUCCAGAGCAGAGAUAUACAGAAAUAAAUUAUUGUAUUUAAGAAAUUAUUUAUUGAAAUGUAUUUACAGUGGUACCUCAGCACUCAACCUCAUUAGAACUCGAAUUUCUUACAAGUCGAACCAACCAGUUCGGAAAAAAAAUACCUAGAACUCGAUCUGAAUCUCAGAAGUCGAACCGUGAACGCAGACCUAAGAUAACUUGUACGCGCAGGGAAAUGAGUCCUGCGGCACGUCUCAGCUGAAACAAGGGGUAAUGCUUCAGUUGAAAAUAUCAGGUAAUACACUGUACUUUAUAUCAUUUUCGUAGCCAUUGCACAUUGUUUCAAUACAUUUAUUUUCUUACUUUACAAAUUUGUCACGCCUGGCUCGUACGGUCCUUCUGUGUGCCAUGCCCCCCUCGUUAACCUCAUGUGAAAUCCCAAUGUCAUCAGCUGUUUCUCGUUAUUUCCAAUUAGUCAUGUGUAUUGAAGUCCGUGUUCAAGUAUGUUUCCCCAGUCCUGUCAUUGAAGUCUAUGCCGUGUUGUGCCUUGUUUGCCAGCAGUAAACCCUGUUCUUGGAUUUCCGUCUGCCUGACCCUGAUUCCGCGCUCCCUGCUCGCUUGUCCUCCACGCGGUGUGACAAAAUUAUUGUUUUGAUAAAUUAAAUGUGCUUGGAUAUGUUUAGUAUUAGUUCUUGUUUUAUCCCGUUCAUUUUGUGUAUAAAUGCUAAAAAAAACAUAUUUAUGUGUAAUUUUUUGGGGCUGGGAAUCAAUUAAUUGGUUUUCCAUUAUUUCUUAUGGGGAAAAUUCAAUCAGAACUCCAACUUUUUAGGAUUCAAACCCGAGUUCUUAAUGGAUUAAGAUCAAGUUCUGAGGUACCACUGUAUUUCCUUCCUUGUGGGUGGCCCUGUUGCUUCACACUGUUUCAACUGCCAAUAUGACUGUGUUCAUGCUGGGUUGGCCACGUUUCCUCCUGCAGUUCAGAGACGAGAUCUAUGGAUCGAUGCUAUUUCUUCUUGAUGUCAGUCCUCUGGAUACCUGUGCUCUUCCUCGUACUAGUCUUCCCAUUUUGUCCCCCUGCCACCUUAUUUGUUUCCCUGCUCCUGUUUUGUUCAGUAAAGCCCAUUUUGUUUACUGAC